CCUGGUGGCUCAGAGGGUAAAGCGUCUGCCUGCAAUGCAGGAGACUCAGGUUCGAUCCCUGGGUCAGGA
This 69-nucleotide transfer RNA is filed under the name Ovis aries (sheep). It matches the Rfam family "tRNA". From Rfam's summary of the family: Transfer RNA (tRNA) molecules are approximately 80 nucleotides in length. Their secondary structure includes four short double-helical elements and three loops (D, anti-codon, and T loops). Lineage: Eukaryota; Metazoa; Chordata; Mammalia; Artiodactyla; Bovidae. The record is from Rfam by way of RNAcentral.